This is a non-coding RNA of Arvicanthis niloticus (Nile rat), 217 nucleotides long. The record is from RefSeq and is a predicted model, not a curated record. NCBI's taxonomy places the organism in Eukaryota, Metazoa, Chordata, Mammalia, Rodentia, Muridae.
CUUGGAUGAGGUUCGGAUGCAAGCUGCCGAGGAACCUUUAAAGAGAAUAGCCCGGCUUCCUUGGGGUUUCCUGUAGCCCAAGAUGGCCUUAAAUUCCCUAUAUAGCUAAGGACGAACUCAAACUUUUGAUCCCUUUGCCUCCGUUCUCCGGAGUGUUGGCAUUAUAGCCUCACCUCCCAUCAGGCAGCGUUUAGCCAGAGCUUCUCUUCGAGCCCGG